Molecule: ribosomal RNA, 1809 nt
Filed under: Triticum aestivum (bread wheat)
Lineage: Eukaryota; Viridiplantae; Streptophyta; Magnoliopsida; Poales; Poaceae
Description: partial small subunit ribosomal RNA
Source: RNAcentral
AUGUUUGGUGUCAGCCCAGCUGUGUUGCAGCUCCAGCUUCAUUUGCCAAACAUGCAUACAGUCGCAUUUCAGGCUUAUGAAAAUCUGGAAGAUGUUGUUGCUCGACCAUCUUCUUCCAAAUCCAUGCUUACCGAGUACUUUGGGAUGAACCAAAAGUAUCCAGAGGCACGAAAAUUGUUGUAUAGAGAGUUCCCAGAACAUUAUAGGUGGAUAGCCGGUAAUAAGAAGUGGCAACCGAGAAAAAAUAAGAGAUCACAGAUUGGAAGAUUGGUGCAUGCACACCCUGCUGAAGGAGAGAGGUACUACUUGCGGGUGCUCCUAAACCAUGUCCGAGGUGCCACUUCAUUUGAUGAUUUAAAAACAGUAAAUGGCAAGGCAUGCGGGUCCUUCAGAGAGGCGUGUGAGCAAUUAGGCCUCAUUGAGCACGACAGGACACUUGAUGAUUGCAUGACGGAGGCUGGGACAUUUCAAAUGCCUACUGCUCUUAGACGGUUGUUUGCGACUAUAUUGGUAUUCUGUGAGGCAACACAAAUCCGUCAGUUAUGGGACAAACAUCUAGCAUCCAUGUCUGAAGAUUAUCGCCGUACUCAAUCGAAUGAGGCAGCACUUGAGCAAAUGGUCCUUAGGGAUAUCAGGGAUCUGCUGCAAUCCAUGGGAAAGGAUAUUAAACUCUAUGGACUUCCGGAUCUGGUUGACGCAGAUGGUUCUUCUAACUUUGACAAUACAGAGGUAACAGAGGAGAGACAGGUUAAAGUGGACCAAGAACAUCUAGAUCUAUUCAGCUGUUUGAACAAUGAGCAACUAGCUGGUUUCAAUGACAUAAUGGAUCAUGUGACAAACCAAAAAAGCCAGUCCAGGUUCAAAAUUCCAAUCAAGCUCACUGACAACAGCAUGUGUAGCUUCACAAAGCAAAGUGGUACGGCAGAGUUGCUUAAACAGGCGUCCUUGAUAAUUUGGGAUGAAGUUGCUAUGACAAAGCGUCAAGCAGUUGAGACACUUGAUAGAUCGCUGCAGGAUAUAAUGGAAUGUUCUUUACCAUUUGGUGGAAAGGUUGUCGUCUUUGGUGGCGAUUUCAGGCAGGUCCUCCCCGUUGUGACCCGAGGGACAAGAGCACAGAUCACUGAUGCUACACUGUUGAGAUCCUAUCUGUGGCAGAAGAUCCGCAAGAUACGCCUCACACGCAAUAUGCGGGCACAGACAGACCCUUGGUUCUCGGAAUACCUCCUACGGAUCGGCAAUGGGACGGAAGAAACAAUUGGCGACGACUAUGUGCAUCUCCCUGAAGACAUUGUGAUUGCUUAUACCGACGAUGAUGAACCUAUUAACAAGCUUAUCGAAGAUGUCUUCCCAUCCUUGCACACCAAUGCUAGGUCGAGAGAGUACAUGAGCACACGUGCAAUUCUCUCGACCAAAAAUGAGCAUGUAGAUGACCUGAAUGACAAGAUGAUCUCCAGGUUUCCGGGCGAAGAAAAGGUGUACCAUAGCUUUGACUAUAUCGAGGAUGACUUCCAGAAUAAUUACACAAUUGACUUCCUGAACUCGAUCACACCAAAUGGGUUGCCCCCGCAUGUCUUGAGAGUAAAAAUCAACUGCCCGGUCAUUUUGCUACGGAACCUCGACCCUCAUAAUGGGCUAUGUAAUGGAACACGGCUUAUGAUCAGGGCCUUCCAGGAUAAUGCAAUCGAUCAGAGAUUGUUGGUGGCCAGCAUGCUAGAAAGAGGGUGUUCAUACCUAGGAUCCCUAUGUCGCCCUCGGAGGACACCUCACUUCCCUUCAAGCUUAAGAGAAAACAGUUCCCCAUCCGCCUGA